UACGGAGGGUGCAAGCGUUAUCCGGAUUUACUGGGUUAAAGGUGUGUAGGCGGGCUAUUAAGUCAGUGGUGAAAUCUCCGGCUCAACCCGGAAACUGCCAUUGAUACUAUUAGUCUUGAAUUUGUUGAGGUAGGCGGAAUAAGUCAUGUAGCGGUGAAAAUGCAUAGAUAUGACUUAGAACACCAAUUGCGAAGGCAGCUUACUAAGCAAAUAUUGACGCUGAGGCACGAAAGCGUGGGGAUCAAACAGG
This 250-nucleotide ribosomal RNA is filed under the name uncultured bacterium. RNAcentral's name for it is "partial 16S ribosomal RNA". It matches the Rfam family "Bacterial small subunit ribosomal RNA", at positions 524 to 776 of the family's 1533-position model. The record is from RNAcentral.